RNAcentral lists this ribosomal RNA (725 nucleotides) under uncultured archaeon. Its description in RNAcentral is "bacterial SSU rRNA". It matches the Rfam family "Archaeal small subunit ribosomal RNA", at positions 135 to 859 of the family's 1478-position model. The record is from RNAcentral.
GGAAACUGGUGAUAAUACCGAAUAGACCAUUUAUGCUGGAAUGCUUUUUGGUUCAAAGGCUUCGGCUGCNUAAGGAUGGAUCUGCGGCCUAUCAGGUAGUAGUGGGUGUAAUGUACNUACUAGCNUACGACGGGUACGGGUUGUGAGAGCAAGAGCCCGGAGAUGGAUUCUGAGACAUGAAUCCAGGCCNUACGGGGCGCAGCAGGCGCGAAAACUUUACAAUGCGGGAAACCGCGAUAAGGGGACACUGAGUGCCAGCAUAUUAUGUUGGCUGUCCACAUGUAUAAAAAUCAUGUGUUAGCAAGGGCCGGGCAAGACCGGUGCCAGCCGCCGCGGUAACACCGGCGGCCCGAGUGGUGAUCACUUUUAUUGGGUCUAAAGGGUCCGUAGCCGGUUUGAUCAGUCCUCUGGGAAAUCUGACAGCUCAACUGUUAGGCUUCCAGGGGAUACUGUUAGACUUGGGACCGGGAGAGGUAAGAGGUACUACAGGGGUAGGAGUGAAAUCUUGUAAUCCCUGUGGGACCACCAGUGGCGAAGGCGUCUUACCAGAACGGGUCCGACGGUGAGGGACGAAAGCUGGGGGCACGAACCGGAUUAGAUACCCGGGUAGUCCCAGCCGUAAACGAUGCUCGCUAGGUGUCAGGGACGGUGCGACCGUUUCUGGUGCCGCAGGGAAGCCGUGAAGCGAGCCACCUGGGAAGUACGGCCGCAAGGCUGAAACUUAA